This 2282-nucleotide ribosomal RNA is filed under the name Enterococcus faecalis EnGen0084. RNAcentral's name for it is "bacterial LSU rRNA". It matches the Rfam family "Bacterial large subunit ribosomal RNA", at positions 1 to 2297 of the family's 2925-position model. Lineage: Bacteria; Bacillati; Bacillota; Bacilli; Lactobacillales; Enterococcaceae. The record is from RNAcentral.
UUAAGUGAAUAAGGGCGCACGGUGGAUGCCUUGGCACUAGGAGCCGAUGAAGGACGGGACUAACACCGAUAUGCUUUGGGGAGCUGUAAGUAAGCUAUGAUCCAGAGAUUUCCGAAUGGGGGAACCCAAUAUCUUUUAUAGGAUAUUACUUUUCAGUGAAUACAUAGCUGAUUAGAGGUAGACGCAGAGAACUGAAACAUCUUAGUACCUGCAGGAAGAGAAAGAAAAUUCGAUUCCCUGAGUAGCGGCGAGCGAAACGGGAAGAGCCCAAACCAACAAGCUUGCUUGUUGGGGUUGUAGGACUCCAAUAUGGUAGUCUGUUAGUAUAGUUGAAGGAUUUGGAAAAUUCCGCUAAAGAGGGUGAAAGCCCCGUAGACGAAAUGCUAACAACGCCUAGGAGGAUCCUGAGUACGGCGGAACACGAGAAAUUCCGUCGGAAUCCGCGGGGACCAUCCCGCAAGGCUAAAUACUCCCUAGUGACCGAUAGUGAACCAGUACCGUGAGGGAAAGGUGAAAAGCACCCCGGAAGGGGAGUGAAAUAGAUCCUGAAACCGUGUGCCUACAACAAGUCAAAGCUCGUUAAUGAGUGAUGGCGUGCCUUUUGUAGAAUGAACCGGCGAGUUACGAUUGCAUGCGAGGUUAAGUUGAAGAGACGGAGCCGCAGCGAAAGCGAGUCUGAAUAGGGCGAAUGAGUAUGUAGUCGUAGACCCGAAACCAUGUGAUCUACCCAUGUCCAGGUUGAAGGUGCGGUAAAACGCACUGGAGGACCGAACCCACGUACGUUGAAAAGUGCGGGGAUGAGGUGUGGGUAGCGGAGAAAUUCCAAACGAACUUGGAGAUAGCUGGUUCUCUCCGAAAUAGCUUUAGGGCUAGCCUCGGAAUUGAGAAUGAUGGAGGUAGAGCACUGUUUGGACUAGGGGCCCAUCUCGGGUUACCGAAUUCAGAUAAACUCCGAAUGCCAUUCAUUUAUAUCCGGGAGUCAGACUGCGAGUGAUAAGAUCCGUAGUCGAAAGGGAAACAGCCCAGACCACCAGCUAAGGUCCCAAAAUAUAUGUUAAGUGGAAAAGGAUGUGGGGUUGCACAGACAACUAGGAUGUUGGCUUAGAAGCAGCCACCAUUUAAAGAGUGCGUAAUAGCUCCCUAGUCGAGUGACCCUGCGCCGAAAAUGUACCGGGGCUAAACAUAUUACCGAAGCUGUGGACUACACCAUUAGGUGUAGUGGUAGGAGAGCGUUCUAAGGGCGUUGAAGGUCGAUCGUGAGGACGGCUGGAGCGCUUAGAAGUGAGAAUGCCGGUAUGAGUAGCGAAAGACAGGUGAGAAUCCUGUCCACCGUAUGACUAAGGUUUCCUGGGGAAGGCUCGUCCGCCCAGGGUUAGUCGGGACCUAAGCCGAGGCCGAUAGGCGUAGGCGAUGGACAACAGGUUGAUAUUCCUGUACCAGUUGUUUUUGUUUGAACAAUGGAGGGACGCAGUAGGCUAAGGAAUGCAUGCGAUUGGAAGUGCAUGUCCAAGCAAUGAGUCUUGAGUAGAGUUAAAUGCUUUACUCUCUAAGGACAAGUUGUGACGGGGAGCGAAAUAAUAGUAGCGAAGUUCCUGAUGUCACACUGCCAAGAAAAGCUUCUAGUGAGAAAACAACUGCCCGUACCGUAAACCGACACAGGUAGUCGAGGAGAGUAUCCUAAGGUGAGCGAGCGAACUCUCGUUAAGGAACUCGGCAAAAUGACCCCGUAACUUCGGGAGAAGGGGUGCUGACUUCGGUCAGCCGCAGUGAAUAGGCCCAAGCGACUGUUUAUCAAAAACACAGGUCUCUGCAAAAUCGUAAGAUGAAGUAUAGGGGCUGACGCCUGCCCGGUGCUGGAAGGUUAAGAGGAUGGGUUAGCUUCGGCGAAGCUCAGAAUUGAAGCCCCAGUAAACGGCGGCCGUAACUAUAACGGUCCUAAGGUAGCGAAAUUCCUUGUCGGGUAAGUUCCGACCCGCACGAAAGGCGUAACGAUUUGGGCACUGUCUCAACGAGAGACUCGGUGAAAUUUUAGUACCUGUGAAGAUGCAGGUUACCCGCGACAGGACGGAAAGACCCCAUGGAGCUUUACUGUAGUUUGAUAUUGAGUGUUUGUACCACAUGUACAGGAUAGGUAGGAGCCGAUGAGACCGGAACGCUAGUUUCGGAGGAGGCGCUGGUGGGAUACUACCCUUGUGUUAUGAACCCUCUAACCCGCACCACUAAUCGUGGUGGGAGACAGUGUCAGAUGGGCAGUUUGACUGGGGCGGUCGCCUCCUAAAAGG